UCGUUUUGUAUUAUGAGUUGAACACUUUCUUUCUUCUCCGUCGAGUUACACCCUCCGGUUUCGAUUCAGUUGCCUCAUCUUCUUCACUCCGAUCCAGAAAUCUAUCAGUUACGAAUUCAUCAUCUUAAAAUUUUCCUUAAAUCCAUCAUCCACAAUCUACAUUCAAUGUUAGCUUCGCUCUUGCAAGGCGGUGGAGAUUCGAGUAUAAGAAGCCACCGUAAAUGUAAGCCGGCUCGCUACAUUCAGUAACUACCUUAAGGCUGGUUCAAUGUUCACUCUCAGCGGAUUUGUAGUGGUUCAAUACAAUCAGAACUUCAGACUUUUGGACACCAUUUUGACUUUUCGGUUCAAUGUCUUAACUUUGAUGCGUUAACCGCACCCGUUUCUCCCAGUUUUGAAGAGCGUUUCAGGUUCCGUGAUCUUGAUUCCCAGCUUGGCCUAGCCAGCACCAACACCCAACUUCCAGAUAUAUCCUCUUAUUAGAUUUUUGACUCAGACUUAUCAUUGUAACCAAUAUAUUUAAACUAUUGAACACAUCUCAGACGUUAUUGGUGAGCUACUGAUGUGAAGGUGUGUGACAUUCCCCAAGGAAAUGAAUAAUGACGUGUCUAUGACAUUGAGCCUGUUUGAGUCACAAGCUUGGAGGGUUUGGGAGUGAUCCGCGAGUUGUUGUCGCAUCUAGCAUAAAUCCUAGGAUUAUAGGAGGCCGUAUGUUCUUAAAUGCCACGUCAGAGACUCAUGCAGGGGAGGUUUUGUUUAGCGAUAGGCUGGCUUUUAGAUACAGUUGGAACAACCCCGCACUUCUUUGCUGAGGGGAUAGGCCAAGGUUGUUUCACUGAGCAUAUAUGAGCUGACUGAGCUCUCACAACCAAGCCUCAGGUUGUACAUCAUUCUGAUUUGUUUUAAGUACUGAAAGCUUAUACUCUGUAUGUGAUUCUCAUGAGUUUGCAAUGUACGGAAAUUAAAUUUGUCUGUACUGGAAAGGUGACUGGAAUCUAGAUGGAAAGAGGAUGGUAUUAUGUCUUCUGCUUCAUGUGCACGAGGAAGCUCCAACGAACUGUCUCCUCAUUUACUUGCGUACCCCGCAAUAACACUAAAGCUAUUAGUGUGCUCAGGUACCGUGUUGAAAUGAGCAUAGCUGCUGACACGAUGAGGGUCUAUUUGUUGGUUUUGAUGCAAAAAUGACCAAACUCCAUAACAUGCGAGCCUACGAAGCUGGUCAUCUCAUGGCUGGCCCGGGAGUAAACCCAGAAGAAUCUCAGACACCUCCUUUAUACAAGGAGAUAUUGAAGGAUCUACAAGACCAAAAGGACUAGAUGUUAUUCGUUACAGGGCAACAUCUCCUCUUUUGAAGAAAUUACUCAGUCAGUAUCAGGGUUUCGUAUUUGCAGAUAAUAAGAAUUUUAAUCACCGAAAACUUUCUCUUUAAUACAAAUUAUUACGGAGACACAUACAUUUGGUUAUUUCAUCAAACAGUAAAAAUCUACUUUUGUUAAGACA
Raphanus sativus (radish) is the source of this 1500-nucleotide long non-coding RNA. RefSeq lists it as uncharacterized. Lineage: Eukaryota; Viridiplantae; Streptophyta; Magnoliopsida; Brassicales; Brassicaceae. The record is from RefSeq and is a predicted model, not a curated record. The transcript has 8 exons.